Molecule: long non-coding RNA, 1934 nt
Filed under: Phoenix dactylifera (date palm)
Lineage: Eukaryota; Viridiplantae; Streptophyta; Magnoliopsida; Arecales; Arecaceae
Description: long non-coding RNA (PDAC_LNC013665)
Source: RNAcentral
UUGUAAUUGGCUCUGAUACAUGCUCAUUAAUUUUGUUCUGACAUUAUUGCCUUGAGUUAUAUCAUUCAUAUUCUUGCAAUAAUUCCACAUGCAUUGACUGAAAACCAGAGUACAAUAAGGGAGAGAAAUAUCUAAGUUUAGUUUAUUACUUUGCGCUUAAUGUUUUAUUAUUUUGCAACCUUUUUGAUGUUGUCAAAAAGAGGAAGAAAUAUCUGAGUAUAUGCUCAUAAUGUUUUAUGUGUUGAUUAUGUUAAGUUGAUUAAAUCUAAAACAUUAUCAUGAAGUAUGUUUUAAAUAUGCAUGUUUUCUACUUCAUGCAACUUAGCUAUACAUUAGUUCUAUAACACAAUCUAUUUUAUAUUGCAUAUACUCCAAGUUCUAUCAUCAUCAAAAAGGGGGAGAUUGUUGACCCAAAGAUUGAUUUUGAUGAUCACAAAACCUUAAAGUAUAAUUACUAAUGUGUGUUGCAAGAAGAAAGAUAAUUUGUUUUGCAAGGAACAUAGCAAGUUGGAAAAAUACAAGGCCUCAAAAGCUCUCAAGAAAAGUUGGAAGAAAGCCACACUUCAUUGGCUCAAGUUUCAAGUUCAAAGGAUUCAAGUUGGAGUAACAAAUUCAAAGAAAAAUUCAAAAGAACAGUCCUCGAGUCGACUACUAGAAGUUCAGAGUCGACUUUGGAGUUUCAAGAAACAGUGCUCGAGUCGACUCCUACUGUUCACGAACCGACUCUCGUAGAAAAAGACAGAGAGUUGAUUUUCAGCGCUACAGUGCUCGAGUCGACUCCAGCUGCAGUCGAGUCGACUCCUAUUCACGAGUCGACUCGAGAACGCUGGAAGGCAUAACGGCUAGUUUUUUCUCAACUCCAACGGCUCUAUUUUUGUCUCUAACGGCUAGAUCUUUGUUCCCACGCCAUCCAAAGCUAUAAAAUCAAGGAAAGAGCUAGGGGAGAAGUUAAGGAAGUGAGAGAGAACACAUAGGGAAGAUAUUUCAAAGAGAUUUCAAGAGAAACCUUCCAAAAGCACAAAAGGGCCAUUCAAAGCAAAAGAGAGAGAAGAGCAUCCGAGUGAAUCCCAAAGCUUCCUCUCCAACUGUGUGCUGCCUCAGUAAUCCUCUACCUCGUGCGAAAUCAGAAGAGGGUCAAGUAAAGAAGAAGCUGAGUUCCUUCAUCUACAAAACUUGUUUAAGGGCUUCUUCUCUUUACUCUAUUUGUUUAUAUUUGUUAUAUCUGCUUGUUUGAAAAGCUUGUAUUUAUUUUAAACUCCUAUUCUGACAUCUUGUAACUUGAUUCAAUCAAGGGAUUGAAUCAAGGGAUUAAGGGUUGUUGGUGAGCCAGUGAAAACCAACGUUGUAGGUUGUAGUUAGUAAUCCGGAAAAAACCAACUGGGUUGGAUUGUGAGCCCGUGAAAACAGUCGGAUUGGUUCUAGUUAGUGAGCCUGUGAAAACCAACCGAGUUCGUUGUGAUCUCGUGAAAACAACAAGUUAGGUUGUAAGCUUGUAAAACAACCGGCUGUAAUCUGAGGGAUUAUAGUGAAAUUCCCAAAAGAUCUUGGAAAGUGGAUGUAAGUGCUGGGGUGCACCGAACCACUAUACAUCUUUGUGUUUGUGAUGCCUUAUCUCUUGUGUUUCAUGCCUUACAUUCACACUUGAUUGUGUAAUAUCUCUAGCUUUGUUUCCUAUAGAUUUAUAAGUGAUUGUUUAGAACUUGCUUAGCUUAUACUCUAUUCUUACCAUUCACAUAGAUUAAAAUUGAUCAUACAACUAUAAGUUAAUUUUAGAUCAAUUGCACCCUAAAGCCAUAGUAUAAUUGCUCUAGCUUAUUUUUCCACUGCUUUACUUGUAAUUGCCUAGAGCUUAAGUAAAUAACAUCUUAUCAUUCCGCUGCAUUCAAUUCAAAGUUAAUUAGGGAACAUAAUUUUUAGAAAAUCCAAUUCACCCU